This 74-nucleotide transfer RNA is filed under the name Candidatus Kerfeldbacteria bacterium CG08_land_8_20_14_0_20_40_16. RNAcentral's name for it is "tRNA-Gln". It matches the Rfam family "tRNA". From Rfam's summary of the family: Transfer RNA (tRNA) molecules are approximately 80 nucleotides in length. Their secondary structure includes four short double-helical elements and three loops (D, anti-codon, and T loops). The record is from RNAcentral. Lineage: Bacteria; Candidatus Kerfeldiibacteriota.
UGGGGAGUAGCCAAGUGGUAAGGCAAUGGACUCUGGCUCCAUGAUCGGGGGUUCGAAUCCCUCCUCCCCAGCCA